CUCUCUUUCUCCUGUUCCAGCAAUGUAAGAGGAGCUGGCUUCACCUUCACCUUCGCCAUGAUUGAAGGUUUCCUGAGGCCUCCCCAGAAGCUGAACAGAGGCCAGUAUCAUGCUUCCUGUACAGCCUGCAGAACUGUGAGCCAAUUAAACCUCUUUUCUUUAUAAAUUACCCAGACUCAGAUAUUUCCUUAUAGCAAUACAGAAACAGACUAACAUAGUCUCACUCAUAAAGAAGUAUAAGUCAAACCCAUGAUGUGAUACUACUCUACAGCAUUUUUUAAAGAUAAAGCAAUAUUAUUUAUAAGGGUUAGUAAUAUUAUAAAAUGGUACAGUUCUUAGCCAAUUGAAGUAUAUUUUAGUAAUACAUAGAGAAAAUAAUAAAAAUAUUCAGUCCCUUUGACCCAGCAGUUCCAUUUUUGGGGAAUCUUAAAAGGGUGAAGAAGUAGAAAUUACAUAUACCAAGUUGUUUCCAGCAGCAUCAUUUAUACUAGUGAAAAUAAGAAACAUCCUAAAUAUUCAACAGCAACCGACUGGUUAUAUAAUUAUGAUUAGUCCAUAAGGCAGUGGUUCCUAACCUUUUUGGCACCAGGGACUAGUUUUGUGGAAGACAAUUUUUCCAUGGAAGGGGUGGGGAGUGGCAGGGUAGGGUGUGGGGAUAGUUUGGGGAUGAAACUGUUCUACCUCAGAUCAUCAGGCAUUAGUUAGAUUCUCAUAAGGAGAACACAACCUAGAUCCCUGCAUAACAGCUCAGAAUAGGGUUCCUGCUGCUAAAAGAAUCUAAUGCUGCUGAUGAUCUGAUAGGAGGCAGAGCUCAGACAGUAAUGCUCGCUAGCCCUUGGCUUACUUCCUGCCUAACAGGCCAUGGACAGGUACCAGUCUGUGGCCCGGGGGUUGUGGACCCCUGCCAUAGAGGACACUGUGGUCUAUGUUAACUAUAAUAAUUCUACCCACCAACUACCAUCCCAGGCCAAUGAUUGGAUUGCAAAUGGUCAUGACUGAAUUCUGAACAUAAGAGGAAAAGUUUUCUGAGCAGUUUUGGGGAAAGUUAUCUCUCCCCUAAGCAAGAGACACAAGAAGAAACCACCCAUCUUCUAACUCUGAGCACUGUCCUCGAUGUGGCCCCUGGAGCUGCUGCCCUCAUCUUAUGCCACACCUGAGAAUGAAAUCAACACUGAGAAGCGCAUUUUGGAGAUAUGGGAAAGCCCGUGCUUGAUGACAACACUGACCUAUUGAAUCAGUCAACCUAGAGCCUCAGCUUCUAUGCUACCACAUCCACUGGAGUUAGAUGGGGAAGCAGGUUCCUCAUCAGAAUUGCUCAGGAACUCAGACUGACAGAACAGCCACCAUUCUGACCAUUGCCUGUCACUAUGCUAGAGGUAAGAAAAAAAAAAAAAAAGCAUCCAAACUGCAUACUGGAUUUUAAUGCUUUCACUACGUUAUUUCCACUUGCAUUUCAUUAGCCAAAACAGGUCACAUGGCCAUGCCUGGGUUCAAAGGAAGAGAGAAAGUGUAAUUCUCCCAUGUCCCUGGAAGCCAGAAAUAUCUGGCAAAUAGCCCUAAUGGCGAUCACAGGGCUACAACAAAUGGCUGUUGGAUGCAAAGCACAAUUAUAUGUGCAGAAGGUAGACUUUUUUUAUAUCCCAGAGAGAAGGAAGAGAUGAAGCCUCUAUAGAGCAAAAUUAGCAUAGUGAGACACAAACAGCCCCUCCCUUGCUCUGAGUACACACUCAACUUCACACAGCAAUUGAUUCAGUAUGUGGUUCAAGUUUCAGAAUAUUAUAAAUGUAGUGGAGACUUCUGUAUCAUUCUCAAAGUGCUAUUAUGAAAGACCAUCAGACAGAAAGUAGAUUAAUUAUUACAUUAAUAUCUCCCUCAAAAAAUCUGCCUACAUCACCAAAAGCCACAAAUGGUGAAACUCCCUGAUAGGACAUACCUCAUGCCUCAAUCCCCUCCUUGCUAUCUUUUUGCAUGUGUUUUGGAAGUUUUUUAAAUUUUAACAUUCUAGUCUCAGAUGAAGCAUACAUUCUAAAUUCUGAAACGUGGAGUCUAUGUAUCAUAGUUCAUUCCUCAUCUCAUUUAUCUCAUCUUCCCUUACAUGCCUCUCUGCACAGUGGGAAAACUUUCUUUUGACCCCACUUUCUCCAAAAUGGUUCCCUGAUUACCCCAGGUCAGAGCACAACCGCCCUUUUUUUUAUUGCCAAGCUGUGAUGUUUCCAUGAUUUACACCAUUUAACUGUCAUUCUUCCCUAGCUGCUUUCUCCAACAGUCUAUAAAGUCCUUUGAGAAUCAUAGGUUGCUAGAUGUCUAAAUGGGCAAACUGAACACUACAUUCUCUCUUCCCAGUCACUGCAAGGACAGGUGGAGUUCCUUCUCAAGGAUUUCAUCUCUAAGAGCAGUCCG
This 2400-nucleotide long non-coding RNA is filed under the name Homo sapiens (human). RNAcentral's name for it is "non-protein coding lnc-NT5E-10:1". Lineage: Eukaryota; Metazoa; Chordata; Mammalia; Primates; Hominidae. The record is from RNAcentral.